GCAAGUCGAGCGCGAAAUUCAACUUCGGUUGGAGAGUAGAGCGGCGCACGGGUGAGUAACACGUGAGUAAUCUGCCCUUGAGACUGGGAUAACAGCCCGAAAGAGCUGCUAAUACCGGAUAAGCUUACACCACUGCGGUGGAGUAGGAAAAGUGGGGGAACCUUCGGGUCCUCAUGCUCUUGGAUGAGCUCGCGGUCCAUUAGGUAGUUGGUGGGGUAACGGCCCACCAAGCCGAAGAUGGAUAGCUGGUUUGAGAGGACGAUC
Molecule: ribosomal RNA, 264 nt
Filed under: uncultured bacterium
Lineage: Bacteria
Description: partial 16S ribosomal RNA
Rfam family: Bacterial small subunit ribosomal RNA
Source: RNAcentral